This 485-nucleotide long non-coding RNA is filed under the name Haliotis rufescens (red abalone). RNAcentral's name for it is "uncharacterized LOC125382894". The record is from RNAcentral. Lineage: Eukaryota; Metazoa; Mollusca; Gastropoda; Lepetellida; Haliotidae.
AAUGCAUCGAAAAAACGUCUCGUCGAUUCAACGUGUAUAUAAGACCCGUGUGCCUUUUCCAGAACACUGACAUCUUUCUCUUCAGACUGAUUGCUGACUUUCUGAAUCUGAACCAUGGCAUCCAUCUUGUCUGUUGCCCUGAUAUGCGCAUGCGUGCUGGUGUGUUCCGGUGCUGUGUACGACCAGUAUCCGUACCACGGUCAGAAACCGGGUUUGUAUCCCGGAGGGAGCUACCCUGGAUACCCCCACCAAGAUAAGUAUGGAGGCUAUUACGGAAGGUACCGACGAUCUGUACCAUCCUAUGGUGAUGGUAGCUACCCAAGACACUACCCGUACUACCCGACAGGAUACCCGUACUACCCAAAAUACCCCACACAGAAACACUAUUAACCAUAAGCGAUGGCGGGAUACCACAGGCGGCCCAGAAUCCGGCAUCUGAAUAAUGCGAUGUGCAUGCAUUACAAGAAAUAAAUGUUGUAUAUUUA